AACGCACCUUGCACCCUUUGGUAUUCCGAAGGGUAUGCCUGUUUGAGUGUCAUUAAUAUCAUCAACUGUAGUUCUUUGUGACUACAGCUUGGAUUUGGAGGCUGCUGGCUGCAAAGUCGGCUCUUCUUAAAUGCAUUAGCUGUAUUAGCUGAAUCAGCUUCGGUUUGAUAGAAAUAUCUAUGCUGUCGCUGAGGAACAUUUGUACAGCUUACAAUUGUCUUCGGACUGCUUUUUAAGCAUUUGACUCUUGACCUCAAAUCAGGUAGGACUACCCGCUGAACUUAA
RNAcentral lists this unclassified non-coding RNA (285 nucleotides) under uncultured fungus. RNAcentral's name for it is "sequence contains ITS2". The stretch from base 1 to 52 matches the Rfam family "5.8S ribosomal RNA", at positions 103 to 154 of the family's 154-position model. Lineage: Eukaryota; Fungi. The record is from RNAcentral.